GAAACGGGCCGGGGGAAGGGCGUACAUGAGUACAGGUUCCUGAGGGAGGUGUAAUAGUGGGGGUUAUACCGCCCUGUGUGUGCAGGGAGCUAAAUACAAAUACAGCAUGCUGAAUACGUGCCAAGUAUGCUGGUUAAUGAAUAAAUCUCCUUCCGAUCCUGGUGUUUUCACAGCUAUGGAUCCUGAUGACCUGGAAGAGUUGGCAGUGGCGCUGCAAGGGAAGACUGUUGGUGGCUGGGGCCUUGUGCAGCUUGCUGCUGGCACAGGUUUUGCUGCCUAUGUUAUGUGGGCAGGAGUUCUCAUGCCUGGCUUCCGCAGAGUGCCUUUAAAGUUACAGGUGCCAUAUGUACCAUCAAGUGCCAAGCAAGUUGAGAAUGUGAUGUCGCUGCUGAAAGGACGCUCUGGGAAGAUGGUGGAUUUAGGGUCAGGAGAUGGCAGAAUUGUAUUAGAAGCAUAUAAACGAGGCUUCAGACCAGCUGUUGGCUAUGAACUCAACCCCUGGCUGUUGAGACUCUCCAACUAUCAUGCCUGGAGGGCUGGGUGUUAUGGGAAGGUUUUCUACCAACGGCAAGAUCUAUGGAAGGUAAACGUAUCUGACUGCAACAACAUCUCUGUGUUCCUCGCUCCCAGUGUGUCUGACCCUGCUAUCAGAAACAGCAGUUGAGAUUGAUCAAGAUCUCCUGCAGAAUGAGAUGCUGACAAGACUUCAUGGAGGGGAGGCUCUAGGUCAGAACCUUACCCAUCUUGCUAUUGGCUCCAAGUUACUAGUAUAUGGUGCUAUACAACCAAAGGAGGAGCUUACAAUCUCGCUCUUCUGUGAUCCUGGUUUCCAAGCAACUAAAAGACAAGAAUGAAUGGGGAAGAUGAAAGGCAUCCUGCAAAGAGAAUGACUGAACUGCAGAGAAAGCUCACUGAGAAAGAAAAAAUUACCAGUUACCUAACGGAUUGCCACUCGCUGGAAAGAUGCGUGCUAAAGGGGGUGAAGUGAAAUGCAGGGGAAAGGGCAGACGGAAUAGGGAGCAGCUAAUACACUAAAAUACAGCUAAUACAAUAGGAAGGUUGUGUUAAAUCUAUCCUGGCUGCAUAGGUAUCAUCACACUAAGUGUGGACUCAGAUGAGAUGUGGAUAGGAAGGUCAGAUUACCGUGAGAAACUAAAUGGUUGGUACUGAAGCACUAGUCAAUAUCACACAAAUGAUGAUGCAACUGAGGCAAGAGGCUACUCCAGCCCAGCAUUCUGGGUUUGCUUUAUCACCAUCACCUCCAGGGGGUUGUCUGUGUCACUAGCAGAGCUCUCAAGAUCCCUCUCAUUCACACCAUCCGUUCAGCCAAGGAAUGAAGGCUAAUACUCCCUUAACUAGCCAAAGGGUUCACUGUUGAGCAACUUGAGACAUCAGCAGAAUACACUUCUGGUGUAAGCAGGCACAGCUCACUUGACUUCGGUGAUUUCUGUGCUCUUUUUUCCCCAGUGGGAUUCCUUGACUUUACAAAGCUUUUGAUAUGGUCUCCCACAGUAUUCUUGCCUGCAAGUUAAAGAAUUAUGAGCUGGAUGAAUGGACUAUAAGGUGGAUAGAAAGCUGGCUAGAUCAUUGGGCUCAAUGG
RNA transcript from Dermochelys coriacea (leatherback sea turtle), 1600 nucleotides. It is a transcript of the gene named adenine nucleotide translocase lysine methyltransferase, with no coding region annotated. The record is from RefSeq and is a predicted model, not a curated record. The transcript has 6 exons. NCBI's taxonomy places the organism in Eukaryota, Metazoa, Chordata, Testudines, Dermochelyidae.